GACGAACGCUGGCGGCGUGCUUAACACAUGCAAGUCGAACGGAAAGGCCCUGCUUUGUGGGGUGCUCGAGUGGCGAACGGGUGAGUAACACGUGAGUAACCUGCCCUUGACUUUGGGAUAACUUCAGGAAACUGGGGCUAAUGCCGGAUAGGAGCUCCUGCUUCCUGGUGGGGGUUGGAAAGUUUCGGCGGUUGGGUAUGGACUCGCGGCUUAUCAGCUUGUUGGUGGGGUAGUGGCUUACCAAGGCUUUGACGGGUAGCCGGCCUGAGAGGGUGACCGGCCACAUUAGGACUGAGAUACGGCCCAGACUCCUACGGGAGGCAGCAGUGGGGAAUAUUGCACAAUGGGCGGAAGCCUGAUGCAGCAACGCCGCGUGCGGGAUGACGGCCUUCGGGUUGUAAACCGCUUUCGCCUGUGACGAAGCGUGAGUGACGGUAAUGGGUAAAGAAGCACCGGCUAACUACGUG
This 467-nucleotide ribosomal RNA is filed under the name uncultured bacterium. Its description in RNAcentral is "partial 16S ribosomal RNA". It matches the Rfam family "Bacterial small subunit ribosomal RNA", at positions 28 to 507 of the family's 1533-position model. The record is from RNAcentral.